Trichoplax adhaerens is the source of this 86-nucleotide non-coding RNA. The record is from Rfam. Lineage: Eukaryota; Metazoa; Placozoa; Uniplacotomia; Trichoplacea; Trichoplacidae.
GUAUUGAUAGCUAAGCGGUCUAAAGCGUCUGCCUUGAAAGCAGGCGGGGCGUCGCCCCUACGCGGGUUCGAAUCCUGCUCAAUAUU